Molecule: ribosomal RNA, 460 nt
Filed under: uncultured marine bacterium
Lineage: Bacteria
Description: bacterial SSU rRNA
Rfam family: Bacterial small subunit ribosomal RNA
Source: RNAcentral
AGUUUGAUCAUGGCUCAGAACGAACGCUGGCGGCAGGCUUAACACAUGCAAGUCGAACGAUAUAGUGGCAGACGGGUGAGUAACGCGUGGGAACGUACCUUUCACUACGGAAUAGCUCUUGGAAACGAGUGGUAAUACCGUAUACGCCCUUCGGGGGAAAGAUUUAUCGGUGAAAGAUCGGCCCGCGUUAGAUUAGCUAGUUGGUAGGGUAAUGGCCUACCAAGGCGACGAUCUAUAGCUGGUCUGAGAGGAUGAUCAGCCACACUGGGACUGAGACACGGCCCAGACUCCUACGGGAGGCAGCAGUGGGGAAUCUUGCACAAUGGGCGAAAGCCUGAUGCAGCCAUGCCGCGUGAAUGAUGAAGGCCUUAGGGUUGUAAAAUUCUUUCGCUAGGGAUGAUAAUGACAGUACCUAGUAAAGAAGCCCCGGCUAACUUCGUGCCAGCAGCCGCGGUAAUAC